UUAGCGAAAUGAAGUAGUGAAGCUGCGGCCCCUUCCUGUCGAGAAAAGCCGCUAUCGUGUAGCAAGGGCCCGUACCGUAAACCGACACAGGUGGAUGAGGAGAGGAUCCUAAGGCCGGCGGGAGAAGUGUUGUUAAGGAACUCGGCAAAAUGACUCCGUAACUUCGGGGGAAGGAGUGCUGCGCAAGCAGCCGCAGAGAAAUGGCCCAAGCAACUGUUUAGCAAAAACACAGUUCUAUGCGAAACCGAAAGGUGAGGUAUAUGGGCUGACGCCUGCCCGGUGCUGGAAGGUUAAGGGGAGAGCUUAGCGCAAGCGAAGGUUUGAACUUAAGCCCCAGUAAACGGCGGCCGUAACAAUAACGGUCCUAAGGUAGCGAAAUUCCUUGUCGGGUAAGUUCCGACCCGCACGAAAGGCGUAAUGAUUUGGGCACUGUCUCAACAACACACCCGGUGAAAUUGAAAUACCAGUGAAGAUGCUGGUUACCCGCGCCAGGACGGAAAGACCCCAUGGGGCUUUACUCCAGCCUGAUACUGGGAUUCGGUAUUGCAUGUACAGGAUAGGUGGGAGGCUAAGAACUCAUGGCGCCAGCCGUGAGGGAGCCGAUGUUGGGAUACCACCCCUGCAGUACUGGGUUUCUAACCUGCGCCCGUGACCCGGGCGGGGGACAAUGUCAGGCGGGGAGUUUGACUGGGGCGGUCGCCUCCGAAAGGGUAUCGGAGGCGCUCAAAGGUCUCCUCAGGAUGGUUGGAAACCAUCCAGAGAGUGCAAAGGCAGAAGGAGGCUUGACUGCGACACCGACGGGUGGAGCAGGUACGAAAGUAGGACUUAGUGAUCCGGUGGCAUAAAGUGGGAUUGCCAUCGCUCAACGGAUAAAAGCUACCCUGGGAUAACAGGCUUAUCACUCCCAAGAGUUCACAUCGACGGAGUGGUUUGGCACCUCGAUGUCGGCUCAUCGCAUCCUGGAGCUGGAGCAGGUUCCAAGGGUUGGGCUGUUCGCCCAUUAAAGCGGUACGCGAGCUGGGUUCAGAACGUCGUGAGACAGUUCGGUCCCUAUCCGGCGCGGGCGCAGGAUAUCUGAGAGGAGCUGUCCUUAGUACGAGAGGACCGGGAUGGACCGUCCGCUGGUGGACCGGUUGUCAUGCCAAUGGCACGGCCGGGUAGCCAAGACGGGAAGGGAUAAACGCUGAAGGCAUCUAAGCGUGAAGCCCCCCUCAAGAUGAGAUAUCCAUACUCGAAAGAGUGAGAGACCCCUUAGAGACGAUGAGGUAGAUAGGGCAGAGAUGGAAGUGCAGCGAUGCAUGGAGUUGACUGUUACUAAUCGGUCGAAAGCUC
RNAcentral lists this ribosomal RNA (1332 nucleotides) under metagenome. RNAcentral describes it as "bacterial LSU rRNA". It matches the Rfam family "Bacterial large subunit ribosomal RNA", at positions 1570 to 2925 of the family's 2925-position model. The record is from RNAcentral.